This 513-nucleotide long non-coding RNA is filed under the name Capsicum annuum. RNAcentral's name for it is "long non-coding RNA (CANN_LNC014137)". Lineage: Eukaryota; Viridiplantae; Streptophyta; Magnoliopsida; Solanales; Solanaceae. The record is from RNAcentral.
GGGUAUGAACAUAGGAUCUUUUGGUGUAUUUGGAAUAAAUGGUUUAUCAAAUAGCCUGUUUAGGUUCAUAUUUGUGUUUUUCCUAACUACUUUGCUUGUACCUGCAGAAGUAGAUUGAUAAAUGUUAUAGGUUUUAUGGAGUAUCCCAACGUCUCCUUCUAGCUAUGGAUUUUAAUGUCUUCCAAUCGACAUAGCUCUGCACACUGCUGAGUUAACUGAUUUGUAGCUAUAGAUUUCAGUUUAACUUCAUUAGUCUUUAGCUUUUCUAUUUCAUUACCCAUACUGUCCACUUUCAUUGAAAGCGUAGUUAGGGUGUUGAAUAUCUUUUCUAGAGUAUCCUCUUCUAUUAUAUCAGUCUGUGUAGCUUUGUCUUGAUAUGUAAUCUGCAAUAACAUUUUUGUUAGUACUAAUUACUUCAAUUAUAAAUGUGAAAUUUAAUAUAUUCAAGACUAGUCUCUGAAUCUCUUUUAUUGUAACUGAAUUUUGUAUUUUCUUUGUUAACCACCAACGUAC